GCCGCCUUAGCUCAGUAGGUUAGAGCGCUUGAUUGUGGAUCAAGAGGUCCCCCGUUCGAACCGGGGAGGCGGUACCA
Molecule: transfer RNA, 77 nt
Filed under: Pseudomonadota bacterium
Lineage: Bacteria; Pseudomonadati; Pseudomonadota
Also listed under: 4 other names
Description: tRNA-His
Rfam family: tRNA
About the family: Transfer RNA (tRNA) molecules are approximately 80 nucleotides in length. Their secondary structure includes four short double-helical elements and three loops (D, anti-codon, and T loops).
Source: RNAcentral